CUGGCAAAGUCGCGCCCAAAAAUAAGCGCCCGAAGGUCGUGGUGCCAAAACCCCCCAGCGGAAAAAUGGCCAAAAAACGGGUGGGCUAUAGCCUUGGUGGGGGGCGCGGGCGAAGUUCGUCCGCCGGACUCGGAAUGGGGCGAGACUUUGCGAGGGGCCUCGAGGUGCCAAAAAUAAGCCGCGGGCAAAGCCGCGCCCAAAAAUAAGCGCCCGAAGGUCGUGGUGCCAAAACCCCCCAGCGGAUAAAUGGCCAAAAAACGGGUGGGCUAUAGCCUUGGUGGGGGGCGCGGGCGAAGUUCGUCCGCCGGACUCGGAAUGGGGCGAGACUUUGCGAGGGGCCUCGGGGUGCCCGCGGGAAGUCGCGGGCACAGCCGCGUCCAAAAAUAAGCGCCCGAAGGUCGUGGUGCAAAAACCCCCCAGCGGAAAAAUGGCCAAAAAACGGGUGGGCUAUAGCCUUGGUGGGGGGCGCGGGCGAAGUUCGUCCGCCGGACUCGGAAUGGGGCGAGACUUUGCGAGGGGCCUCGAGGUGCCCGCGGGAAGUCGCGGGCACAGCCGCGUCCAAAAAUAAGCGCCCGAAGGUCGUGGUGCCAAAACCCCCCAGCGGAAAAAUAGCCAAAAAACGGGUGGGCUAUAGCCUUGGUGGGGGGCGCGGGCGAAGUUCGUCCGCCGGACUCGGAAUGGGGCGAGACUUUGCGCGAGGCCUCGGGGCGCCAAAAAUAAGCCGCGGGCAAAACCGCGCCCAAAAAUAAGCGCCCGAAGGUCGUGGUGCCAAAACCCCCCAGCGGAAAAAUGGCCAAAAAACGGGUGGGCUAUAGCCUUGGUGGGGGGCGCGGGCGAAGUUCGUCCGCCGGACUCGGAAUGGGGAGAGACUUUGCGAGGGGCCUCGGGGUGCCAGCGGGAAGUCGCGGGCACAGCCGCGUCCAAAAAUAAGCGCCCGAAGGUUGUGGUGACAAAACCCCCCAGCGGAAAAAUGGCCAAAAAACGGGUGGGCUAUAGCCUUGGUGGGGGGCGCGGGCGAAGUUCGUCCGCCGGACUCGAAUGGGGCGAGACUUUGCGAGGGGCCUCGGGGUGCCAAAAAUUAGCCGCGGGCAAAGCCGCGCCCAAAAAUAAGCGCCCGAAGGUCGUGGUGCCAAAACCCCCCAGCGGAAAAAUGGCCAAAAAACGGGUGGGCUAUAGCCUUGGUGGGGGGCGCGGGCGAAGUUCGUCCGCCGGACUCGGAAUGGGGCGAGACUUUGCGAGGGGCCUCGAGGUGCCCGCGGGAAGUCGCGGGCACAGCCGCGUCCAGAAAUAAGCACCCGAAGGUCGUGGUGCCAAAACCCCCCAGCUGAAAAAUGGCCAAAAAACGGGUGGGCUAUAGCCUUGGUGGGGGGCGCAGGCGAAGUUCGUCCGCCGGACUCGGAAUGGGGCGAGACUUUGCGAGGGCCCUCGGGGUGCCAAAAAUAAGCCGCGGGGAAAGCCGCGCCCAAUGGUCGUGGUGCCAAAACCCCCCAGCGGAAAAAUGGCCAAAAAACGGGUGGGCUAUAGCCUUGGUGGGGGGCGCGGGCGAAGUUCAUCCGCCGGACUCGGAAUGGGGCGAGACUUUGCACGGGGCCUCGGGGCGCCAAAAAUAAGCCGCUGGCAAAGUCGCGCCCAAAAAUAAGCGCCCGAAGGUCGUGGUGCCAAAACCCCCCAGCGGAAAAAUGGCCAAAAAACGGGUGGGCUAUAGCCUUGGUGGGGGGCGCGGGCGAAGUUCGUCCGCCGGACUCGGAAUGGGGCGAGACUUUGCGAGGGGCCUCGGGGUGCCCGCGGGAAGUCGCGGGCACAGCCGCGUCCAAAAAUAAGCCCCCGAAGGUCGUGGUGCCAAAACCCCCCAGCGGAAAAAUGGCCAAAAAACGGGUGGGCAAUAGCCUUGGUGGGGGGCGCGGGCAAAGUUCGUCCGCCGGACUCGGAAUGGGGCGAGACUUUGCGAGGGGCCUCGGGGUGCCAAAAAUAAGCCGCGGGCAUAGCCGCGCCCAAAAAUAAGCGCCCGAAGGUCUUGGUGCCAAAACCCCCCAGCGGAAAAAUGGCCAAAAAACGGGUGGGCUAUAGCCUUGGUGGGGGGCGCGGGCGAAGUUCGUCCGCCGGACUCGGAAUGGGGCGAGACUUUGCGAGGGGCCUCGGGGUGCCCGCGGGAAGUCGCGGGCACAGCCGCGUCCAAAAAUAAGCGCCCGAAGGUCGUGGUGCAAAAACCCCCCAGCGGAAAAAUGGCCAAAAAACGGGUGGGCUAUAACCUUGGUGGGGGGCGCGGGCGAAGUUCGUCCGCCGGACUCGGAAUGGGGCGAGACUUUGCGAGGGGCCUCGAGGUGCCCGCGGGAAGUCGCGGGCACAGCCGCGUCCAAAAAUAAGCGCCCGAAGGUCGUGGUGCCAAAACCCCCCAGCGGAAAAAUAGCCAAAAAACGGGUGGGCUAUAGCCUUGGUGGGGGGCGCGGACGAAGUUCGUCCGCCGGACUCGGAAUGGGGCGAGACUUUGCGAGGGGCCUCGGGGUGCCAAAAAUAAGCCGCGGGCAAAGCCGCGCCCAAAAAUAAGCGCCCGAAGGUCGUGGUGCCAAAACCUCCCAGCGGAAAAAUGGCCAAAAAACGGGUGGGCUAUAGCCUUGGUGGGGGGCGCGGGCGAAGUUCGUCCGCCGGACUCGGAAUGGGGCGAGACUUUGCGAGGGGCCUCGGGGUGCCCGCGGGAAGUCGCGGGCUCAGCCGCGUCCAAAAAUAAGCGCCCGAAGGUCGUGGUGCCAAAACCCCCCAGCGGAAAAAUGGCCAAAAAACGGGUGGGCUAUAGCCUUGGUGGGGGGCGCGGGCGAAGUUCGUCCGCCGGACUCGGAAUGGGGCGAGACUUUGCGAGGGGCCUUGGGGUGCCCGCGGGAAGUCGCGGGCACAGCCGCGUCCAAAAAUAAGCGCCCGAAGGUCGUGGUGCCAAAACCCCCCAGCGGAAAAAUGGCAAAAAAACGGGUGGGUUAUAGGCUUGGUGGGGGGCGCGGGCGAAGUUCGUCCGCCGGACUCGGAAUGGGGCGAGACUUUGCGCGGGGCCUCGGGGCGCCAAAAAUAAGCCGCGGGCAAAGCCGCACCCAAAAAUAAGCGCCCGAAGGUCGUGGUGCUAAAACCCCCCAGCGGAAAAAUGGCCAAAAAACGGGUGGGCUAUAGCCUUGGCGGGGGGAGCGGGCGAAGUUCGUCCGCCGGACUCGGAAUGGGGCGAGACUUUGUGCGGGGCCUCGGGGCGCCAAAAAUAAGCCGCGGGCAAAGCUGUGCCCAAAAAUAAGCGCCCGAAGGUCGUGGUGCCAAAACCCACCAGCGGAAAAAUGGCCAAAAAACGGGUGGGCUAUAGCCUUGGUGGGGCCGCGGGCGAAGUUCGUCCGCCGGACUCGGAAAGGGGCGAGACUUUGCGCAGGGCCUCGGGGUGCCAAAAAUAAGCCGCGGGCAAAGACGCGCCCAAAAAUAAGCGCCCGAAGGUCGUGGUGCCAAAACCCCCCAGCGGAAAAAUGGCCAAAAAACGGGUGGGCUAUAGCCUUGGUGGGGAGCGCGGGCGAAGUUUGUCCGCCGGACUCGGAAUGGGGCGAGACUUUGCGAGGGGCCUCGGGGUACCCGCGGGAAGUCGCGGGCACAGCCGCGUCGAAAAAUAAGCGCCCGAAGGUCGUGGUGCCAAAACCCCCCAGCGGAAAAAUGGCCAAAAAACGGGUGGGCUAUAGCCUUGGUGGGGGGCGCGGGCGAAGUUCGUCCGCCGGACUCGGAAUGGGGCGAGACUUUGCGAGGGGCCUCGGGGUGCCAAAAAUAAGCCGCGGGCAAAGCCGCGCCCAAAAAUAAGUGCCCGAAGGUCGUGGUGCCAAAACCCCCCAGCGGAAAAAUGGCCAAAAAACGGGUGGGCUAUAGCCUUGGUGGGGGGCGCGGGCGAAGUUCGUCCGCCGGACUCGGAAUGGGGCGAGACUUUGCGAGGGGCCUCGGGGUGCCAAAAAUAAGCCGCGGGCAAAGCCGCGCCCAAAAAUAAGUGCCCGAAGGUCAUUGUGCCAAAACCCCCCAGCGGAAAAAUGGCCAAAAAACGGGUGGGCUAUAGCCUUGGUGGGGGGCGCGGGCGAAGUUCGUCCGCCGGACUCGGAAUGGGGCGAGACUUUGCGAGGGCCCUCGGGGUACCAAAAAUAAGCCGCGGGCAAAGCCGCGCCCAAAAAUAAGCGCCCAAAGGUCGUGGUGCCAAAACCCCCAGCGGAAAAAUGGCCAAAAAACGGGUGGGCUAUAGCCUUGGUGGGGGGCGAGGGCGAAGUUCGUCCGCCGGACUCGGAAUGGGGCGAGACUUUGCGAGGGGCCUCGGGGUACCCGCGGGAAGUCGCGGGCACAGCCGCGUCGAAAAAUAAGCGCCCGAAGGUCGUGGUGCCAAAACCCCCCAGCGGAAAAAUGGCCAAAAAACGGGUGGGCUAUAGCCUUGGUGGGGGGCGCGGGCGAAGUUCGUUCGCCGGACUCGGAAUGGGCCGAGACUUUGCGAGGGGCCUCGGGUUGCCCGCGGGAAGUCGCGGGCACAGCCGCGUCCCGAAAAUAAGCGCCCGAAGGUCGUGGUGCCAAAACCCCCAGCGGAAAAAGGGCCAAAAAACGGGUGGGCUACAGCUUUGGUGGGGGGCGAGGGCGAAGUUCGUCCGCCGGACUCGGAAUGGGGCGAGACUUUGCGAGGGGCCUCGGGGUGCCAAAAAUAAGGCGCGGGCAAAGCCGCGCCCAAAAAUAAGCGCCCAAAGGUCGUGGUGCCAAAACCCCCCAGCGGAAAAAUGGCCAAAAAACGGGUGGGCUAUAGCAUUGGUGGGGGGCGCGGGCGAAGUUCGUCCGCCGGACUCGGAAUGGGGCGAGACUUUGCGAGGGGCCUCGGGGUGCCCGCGGGAAGUCGCGGGCACAGCCGCGUCCAGAAAUAAGCGCCCGAAGGUCGUGGUGCCAAAACCCCCCAGCGGAAAAAUGGCCAAAAAACGGGUGGGCUAUAGCCUUGGUGGGGGGCGCGGGCGAAGUUCGUCCGCCGGACUCGGAAUGGGGCGAGACUUUGCGAGGGGCCUCGGGGUGCCAAAAAUAAGCCGCGGGCAAAGCCGCGCCCAAAAAUAAGUGCCCGAAGGUCAUUGUGCCAAAACCCCCCAGCGGAAAAAUGGCCAAAAAACGGGUGGGCUAUAGCCUUGGUGGGGGGCGCGGGCGAAGUUCGUCCGCCGGACUCGGAAUGGGGCGAGACUUUGCGAGGGCCCUCGGGGUACCAAAAAUAAGCCGCGGGCAAAGCCGCGCCCAAAAAUAAGCGCCCAAAGGUCGUGGUGCCAAAACCCCCCAGCGGAAAAAUGGCCAAAAAACGGGUGGGCUAUAGCCUUGGUGGGGGGCGCGGGCGAAGUUCAUCCGCCGGACUCGGAAUGGGCNNNNNNNNNNNNNNNNNNNNNNNNNNNNNNNNNNNNNNNNNNNNNNNNNNNNNNNNNNNNNNNNNNNNNNNNNNNNNNNNNNNNNNNNNNNNNNNNNNNNNNNNNNNNNNNNNNNNNNNNNNNNNNNNNNNNNNNNNNNNNNNNNNNNNNNNNNNNNNNNNNNNNNNNNNNNNNNNNNNNNNNNNNNNNNNNNNNNNNNNNNNNNNNNNNNNNNNNNNNNNNNNNNNNNNNNNNNNNNNNNNNNNNNNNNNNNNNNNNNNNNNNNNNNNNNNNNNNNNNNNNNNNNNNNNNNNNNNNNNNNNNNNNNNNNNNNNNNNNNNNNNNNNNNNNNNNNNNNNNNNNNNNNNNNNNNNNNNNNNNNNNNNNNNNNNNNNNNNNNNNNNNNNNNNNNNNNNNNNNNNNNNNNNNNNNNNNNNNNNNNNNNNNNNNNNNNNNNNNNNNNNNNNNNNNNNNNNNNNNNNNNNNNNNNNNNNNNNNNNNNNNNNNNNNNNNNNNNNNNNNNNNNNNNNNNNNNNNNNNNNNNNNNNNNNNNNNNNNNNNNNNNNNACUGGUGUUUACCGGGUCUUCAUGACGCCCGCGGGAAGUCGCGGGCACAGCCGCGUCCAAAAAUAAGCGCCCGAAGGUCGUGGUGCCAAAACCCCCCAGCGGAAAAAUAGCCAAAAAACGGGUGGGCUAUAGCCUUGGUCGGGGGCGCGGGCGAAGUUCGUCCGCCGGACUCGGAAUGGGGCGAGACUUUGCGCGGGGCCUCGGGGCGCCAAAAAUAAGCCGCGGGCAAAACCGCGCCCAAAAAUAAGCGCCCGAAGGUCGUGGUGCCAAAACCCCCCAGCGGAAAAAUGGCCAAAAAACGGGUGGGCUAUAGCCUUGGUGGGGGGCGCGGGCGAAGUUCGUCCGCCGGACUCGAAUGGGGCGAGACUUUGCGAGGGGCCUCGGGGUGCCAAAAAUUAGCCGCGGGCAAAGCCGCGCCCAAAAAUAAGCGCCCGAAGGUCGUGGUGCCAAAACCCCCCAGCGGAAAAAUGGCCAAAAAACGGGUGGGCUAUAGCCUUGGUGGGGGGCGCGGGCGAAGUUCGUCCGCCGGACUCGGAAUGGGGCGAGACUUUGCGAGGGGCCUCGAGGUGCCCGCGGGAAGUCGCGGGCACAGCCGCGUCCAGAAAUAAGCACCCGAAGGUCGUGGUGCCAAAACCCCCCAGCUGAAAAAUGGCCAAAAAACGGGUGGGCUAUAGCCUUGGUGGGGGGCGCAGGCGAAGUUCGUCCGCCGGACUCGGAAUGGGGCGAGACUUUGCGAGGGCCCUCGGGGUGCCAAAAAUAAGCCGCGGGGAAAGCCGCGCCCAAUGGUCGUGGUGCCAAAACCCCCCAGCGGAAAAAUGGCCAAAAAACGGGUGGGCUAUAGCCUUGGUGGGGGGCGCGGGCGAAGUUCGUCCGCCGGACUCGGAAUGGGGCGAGACUUUGCACGGGGCCUCGGGGCGCCAAAAAUAAGCCGCUGGCAAAGUCGCGCCCAAAAAUAAGCGCCCGAAGGUCGUGGUGCCAAAACCCCCCAGCGGAAAAAUGGCCAAAAAACGGGUGGGCUAUAGCCUUGGUGGGGGGCGCGGGCGAAGUUCGUCCGCCGGACUCGGAAUGGGGCGAGACUUUGCGAGGGGCCUCGAGGUGCCAAAAAUAAGCCGCGGGCAAAGCCGCGCCCAAAAAUAAGCGCCCGAAGGUCGUGGUGCCAAAACCCCCCAGCGGAUAAAUGGCCAAAAAACGGGUGGGCUAUAGCCUUGGUGGGGGGCGCGGGCGAAGUUCGUCCGCCGGACUCGGAAUGGGGCGAGACUUUGCGAGGGGCCUCGGGGUGCCCGCGGGAAGUCGCGGGCACAGCCGCGUCCAAAAUAAGCGCCCGAAGGUCGUGGUGCAAAAACCCCCCAGCGGAAAAAUGGCCAAAAAACGGGUGGGCUAUAGCCUUGGUGGGGGGCGCGGGCGAAGUUCGUCCGCCGGACUCGGAAUGGGGCGAGACUUUGCGAGGGGCCUCGGGGUGCCCGCGGGAAGUCGCGGGCACAGCCGCGUCCAAAAAUAAGCGCCCGAAGGUCGUGGUGCCAAAACCCCCCAGCGGAAAAAUAGCCAAAAAACGGGUGGGCUAUAGCCUUGGUGGGGGGCGCGGGCGAAGUUCGUCCGCCGGACUCGGAAUGGGGCGAGACUUUGCGCGAGGCCUCGGGGCGCCAAAAAUAAGCCGCGGGCAAAACCGCGCCCAAAAAUAAGCGCCCGAAGGUCGUGGUGCCAAAACCCCCCAGCGGAAAAAUGGCCAAAAAACGGGUGGGCUAUAGCCUUGGUGGGGGGCGCGGGCGAAGUUCGUCCGCCGGACUCGGAAUGGGGCGAGACUUUGCGAGGGGCCUCGGGGUGCCCGCGGGAAGUCGCGGGCACAGCCGCGUCCAAAAAUAAGCCCCCGAAGGUCGUGGUGCCAAAACCCCCCAGCGGAAAAAUGGCCAAAAAACGGGUGGGCAAUAGCCUUGGUGGGGGGCGCGGGCAAAGUUCGUCCGCCGGACUCGGAAUGGGGCGAGACUUUGCGAGGGGCCUCGGGGUGCCAAAAAUAAGCCGCGGGCAUAGCCGCGCCCAAAAAUAAGCGCCCGAAGGUCUUGGUGCCAAAACCCCCCAGCGGAAAAAUGGCCAAAAAACGGGUGGGCUAUAGCCUUGGUGGGGGGCGCGGGCGAAGUUCGUCCGCCGGACUCGGAAUGGGGCGAGACUUUGCGAGGGGCCUCGGGGUGCCCGCGGGAAGUCGCGGGCACAGCCGCGUCCAAAAAUAAGCGCCCGAAGGUCGUGGUGCAAAAACCCCCCAGCGGAAAAAUGGCCAAAAAACGGGUGGGCUAUAACCUUGGUGGGGGGCGCGGGCGAAGUUCGUCCGCCGGACUCGGAAUGGGGCGAGACUUUGCGAGGGGCCUCGAGGUGCCUGCGGGAAGUCGCGGGCACAGCCGCGUCCAAAAAUAAGCGCCCGAAGGUCGUGGUGCCAAAACCCCCCAGCGGAAAAAUAGCCAAAAAACGGGUGGGCUAUAGCCUUGGUGGGGGGCGCGGACGAAGUUCGUCCGCCGGACUCGGAAUGGGGCGAGACUUUGCGAGGGGCCUCGGGGUGCCAAAAAUAAGCCGCGGGCAAAGCCGCGCCCAAAAAUAAGCGCCCGAAGGUCGUGGUGCCAAAACCUCCCAGCGGAAAAAUGGCCAAAAAACGGGUGGGCUAUAGCCUUGGUGGGGGGCGCGGGCGAAGUUCGUCCGCCGGACUCGGAAUGGGGCGAGACUUUGCGAGGGGCCUCGGGGUGCCCGCGGGAAGUCGCGGGCUCAGCCGCGUCCAGAAAUAAGCGCCCGAAGGUCGUGGUGCCAAAACCCCCCAGCGGAAAAAUGGCCAAAAAACGGGUGGGCUAUAGCCUUGGUUGGGGGCGCGGGCGAAGUUCGUCCGCCGGACUCGGAAUGGGGCGAGACUUUGCGAGGGGCCUUGGGGUGCCCGCGGGAAGUCGCGGGCACAGCCGCGUCCAAAAAUAAGCGCCCGAAGGUCGUGGUGCCAAAACCCCCCAGCGGAAAAAUGGCAAAAAAACGGGUGGGUUAUAGGCUUGGUGGGGGGCGCGGGCGAAGUUCGUCCGCCGGACUCGGAAUGGGGCGAGACUUUGCGCGGGGCCUCGGGGCGCCAAAAAUAAGCCGCGGGCAAAGCCGCACCCAAAAAUAAGCGCCCGAAGGUCGUGGUGCUAAAACCCCCCAGCGGAAAAAUGGCCAAAAAACGGGUGGGCUAUAGCCUUGGCGGGGGGCGCGGGCGAAGUUCGUCCGCCGGACUCGGAAUGGGGCGAGACUUUGUGCGGGGCCUCGGGGCGCCAAAAAUAAGCCGCGGGCAAAGCUGUGCCCAAAAAUAAGCGCCCGAAGGUCGUGGUGCCAAAACCCACCAGCGGAAAAAUGGCCAAAAAACGGGUGGGAUAUAGCCUUGGUGGGGCCGCGGGCGAAGUUCGUCCGCCGGACUCGGAAAGGGGCGAGACUUUGCGCAGGGCCUCGGGGUGCCAAAAAUAAGCCGCGGGCAAAGACGCGCCCAAAAAUAAGCGCCCGAAGGUCGUGGUGCCAAAACCCCCCAGCGGAAAAAUGGCGAAAAAACGGGUGGGCUAUAGCCUUGGUGGGGAGCGCGGGCGAAGUUUGUCCGCCGGACUCGGAAUGGGGCGAGACUUUGCGAGGGGCCUCGGGGUACCCGCGGGAAGUCGCGGGCACAGCCGGGUCGAAAAAUAAGCGCCCGAAGGUCGUGGUGCCAAAACCCCCCAGCGGAAAAAUGGCCAAAAAACGGGUGGGCUAUAGCCUUGGUGGGGGGCGCGGGCGAAGUUCGUCCGCCGGACUCGGAAUGGGGCGAGACUUUGCGAGGGGCCUCGGGGUGCCAAAAAUAAGCCGCGGGCAAAGCCGCGCCCAAAAAUAAGUGCCCGAAGGUCGUGGUGCCAAAACCCCCCAGCGGAAAAAUGGCCAAAAAACGGGUGGGCUAUAGCCUUGGUUGGGGGCGCGGGCGAAGUUCGUCCGCCGGACUCGGAAUGGGGCGAGACUUUGCGAGGGGCCUCGGGGUGCCAAAAAUAAGCCGCGGGCAAAGCUGUGCCCAAAAAUAAGCGCCCGAAGGUCGUGGUGCCAAAACCCACCAGCGGAAAAAUGGCCAAAAAACGGGUGGGCUAUAGCCUUGGUGGGGCCGCGGGCGAAGUUCGUCCGCCGGACUCGGAAAGGGGCGAGACUUUGCGCAGGGCCUCGGGGUGCCAAAAAUAAGCCGCGGGCAAAGACGCGCCCAAAAAAUAAGCGUCCGAAGGUCGUGGUGCCAAAACCCCCCAGCGGAAAAAUGGCCAAAAAACGGGUGGGCUAUAGCCUUGGUGGGGAGCGCGGGCGAAGUUGUUCCGCCGGACUCGGAAUGGGGCGAGACUUUGCGAGGGGCCUCGGGGUACCCGCGGGAAGUCGCGGGCACAGCCGCGUCGAAAAAUAAGCGCCCGAAGGUCGUGGUGCCAAAACCCCCCAGCGGAAAAAUGGCCAAAAAACGGGUGGGCUAUAGCCUUGGUGGGGGGCGCGGGCGAAGUUCGUCCGCCGGACUCGGAAUGGGGCGAGACUUUGCGAGGGGCCUCGGGGUGCCAAAAAUAAGCCGCGGGCAAAGCCGCGCCCAAAAAUAAGUGCCCGAAGGUCGUGGUGCCAAAACCCCCCAGCGGAAAAAUGGCCAAAAAACGGGUGGGCUAUAGCCUUGGUGGGGGGCGCGGGCGAAGUUCGUCCGCCGGACUCGGAAUGGGGCGAGACUUUGCGAGGGGCCUCGGGGUGCCAAAAAUAAGCCGCGGGCAAAGCUGUGCCCAAAAAUAAGCGCCCGAAGGUCGUGGUGCCAAAACCCACCAGCGGAAAAAUGGCCAAAAAACUGGGUGGGCUAUAGCCUUGGUGGGGCCGCGGGCGAAGUUCGUCCGCCGGACUCGGAAAGGGGCGAGACUUUGCGAGGGCCCUCGGGGUACCAAAAAUAAGCCGCGGGCAAAGCCGCGCCCAAAAAUAAGCGCCCAAAGGUCGUGGUGCCAAAACCCCCAGCGGAAAAAUGGCCAAAAAACGGGUGGGCUAUAGCCUUGGUGGGGGGCGAGGGCGAAGUUCGUCCGCCGGACUCGGAAUGGGGCGAGACUUUGCGAGGGGCCUCGGGGUACCCGCGGGAAGUCGCGGGCACAGCCGCGUCGAAAAAUAAGCGCCCGAAGGUCGUGGUGCCAAAACCCCCCAGCGGAAAAAUGGCCAAAAAACGGGUGGGCUAUAGCCUUGGUGGGGGGUGCGGGCGAAGUUCGUUCGCCGGACUCGGAAUGGGGCGAGACUUUGCGAGGGGCCUCGGGGUGCCCGCGGGAAGUCGCGGGCACAGCCGCGUCCAGAAAUAAGCGCCCGAAGGUCGUGGUGCCAAAACCCCCAGCGGAAAAAUGGCCAAAAAACGGGUGGGCUACAGCUUUGGUGGGGGGCGCGGGCGAAGUUCGUCCGCCGGACUCGGAAUGGGGCGAGACUUUGCGAGGGGCCUCGGGGUGGCAAAAAUAAGCCGCGGGCAAAGCCGCGCCCAAAAAUAAGCGCCCAAAGGUCGUGGUGCCAAAACCCCCCAGCGGAAAAAUGGCCAAAAAACGGGUGGGCUAUAGCCUUGGUGGGGGGCGCGGGCGAAGUUCGUCCACCGGACUCGGAAUGGGGCCAGACUUUUCGAGGGGCCUCGGAGCAUCAAAAAUAAGCCGCGGGCAAAGCCGCACCCAAAAAUAAGCGCCCGAAGGUCGUGGUGCCAAAACCCCCAGCGGAAAAAUGGCCAAAAAACGGGUGGGCUAUAGCCUUGGUGGGGGGCGAGGGCGAAAUUCGUCCGCCGGACUCGGAAUGGGGCGAGACUUUGCGAGGGGCCUCGGGGUGCCAAAAAUAAGGCGCGGGCAAAGCCGCGCCCAAAAAUAAGCGCCCAAAGGUCGUGGUGCCAAAACCCCCCAGCGGAAAAAUGGCCAAAAAACGGGUGGGCUAUAGCCUUGGUGGGGGGCGCGGGCGAAGUUCGUCCGCCGGACUCGGAAUGGGGCGAGACUUUGCGAGGGGCCUCGGGGUGCCCGCGGGAAGUCGCGGGCACAGCCGCGUCCAGAAAUAAGCGCCCGAAGGUCGUGGUGCCAAAACCCCCAGCGGAAAAAUGGCCAAAAAACGGGUGGGCUACAGCUUUGGUGGGGGGCGCGGGCGAAGUUCGUCCGCCGGACUCGGAAUGGGACGAGACUUUGCGAGGGGCCUCGGGGUGCCAAAAAUAAGCCGCGGGCAGAGCCGCGCCCAAAAAUAAGCGCCCGAAGGUCGUGGUGCCAAAACCCCCCAGCGGAAAAUUGGCCAAAAAACGAGUGGGCUAUAGCCUUGGUGGGGGGCGCGGGCGAAGUUCGUCCGCCGGACUCGGAAUGGGGCGAGACUUUGCGAGGGGCCUCGGGGUGCCCGCGGGAAGUCGCGGGCACAGCCGCGUCCAGAAAUAAGCGCCCGAAGGUCGUGGUGCCAAAACCCCCCAGCGGAAAAAUGGCCAAAAAACGGGUGGGCUAUAGCCUUGGUGGGGGGCGCGGGCGAAGUUCGUCCGCGGGACUCGGAAUGGGGCGAGACUUUGCGAGGGCCCUCGGGGUGCCAAAAAUAAGCUGCGGGGAAAGCCGCGCCCAAAAAUAAGCGCCCAAAGGUCGUGGUGCCAAAACCCCCCAGCGGAAAAAUGGCCAAAAAACGGGUGGGCUAUAGCCUUGGUGGGGGGCGCGGGCGAAGUUCGUCCGCCGGACUCGGAAUGGGGCGAGACUUUGCGAGGGGCCUCGGGGUGCCCGAGGGAAGUCGCGGGCACAGCCGCGUACAGAAAUAAGCGCCCGAAGGUCGUGGUGCUAAAACCCCCCAGCGGAAAAAUGGCCAAAAAACGGGUGGGCUAUAGCCUUGGUGGGGGGCGCGGGCGAAGUUUGUCCGCCGGACUCGGAAUGGGGCCAGACUUUGCGAGGGGCCUCGGAGUGGCAAAAAUCAGCCGCGGGCAAAGCCGCGCCCAAAAAUAAGCGCCCAAAGGUCGUGGUGCCAAAACCCCCCAGCGGAAAAAUGGCCAAAAAACGGGUGGGCUAUAGCCUUGGUGGGGGGCGCGGGCGAAGUUCGUCCCCCGGACUCGGAAUGGGGCGAGACUUUGCGAGGGGCCUCGAGGUGCCCGCGGGAAGUCGCGGGCACAGCCGCGUCCAAAAAUAAGCGCCCGAAGGUCGUGGUGCCAAAACCUCCCAGCGGAAAAAUAGCCAAAAAACGGGUGGGCUAUAGCCUUGGUGGGGGGCGCGGGCGAAGUUCGUCCGCCGGACUCGGAAUGGGGCGAGACUUUGCGCGGGGCCUCGGGGCGCCAAAAAUAAGCCGAGGGCAAAGUCGCGCCCAAAAAUAAGCGCCCGAAGGUCGUGGUGCCAAAACCUCCCAGCGGAAAAAUGGCCAAAAAACGGGUGGGCUAUAGCCUUGGUGGGGGGCGCGGGCGAAGUUCGUCCGCCGGACUCGGAAUGGGGCGAGACUUUGCGCGGGGCCUCGGGGCGCCAAAAAUGAGCCGCGGGCAAAGCCGCGCCCAAAAAUAAGCGCCCGAAGGUCGUGGUGCCAAAACCCCCCAGCGGAAAAAUGGCCAAAAAACGGGUGGGCUAUAGCCUUGGUGGGGGGCGCGGGCGAAGUUCGUCCGCCGGACUCGGAAUGGGGCGAGACUUUGCGAGGGGCCUCGGGGUGCCCGCGGGAAGUAGCGGGCACAGCCGCGUCCAAAAAUAAGCGCCCGAAGGUCGUGGUGCCAAAACCCCCCAGCGGAAAAAUGGCCAAAAAACGGGUGGGCAAUAGCCUUGGUGGGAGGCGCGGGCGAAGUUCGUCCGCCGGACUCGGAAUGGGGCGAGACUUUGUGAGGGGCCUCGGGGUGCCAAAAAUAAGCCGCGGGCAAAGCCGCGCCCGAAGGUCUUGGUGCCAAAACCCCCCAGCGGAAAAAUGGCCAAAAAACGGGUGGGCUAUAGCCUUGGUGGGGGGCGCGGGCGAAGUUCGUCCGCAGGACUCGGAAUGGGGCGAGACUUUGCGAGGGGCCUCGGGGUGCCCGCGGGAAGUCGCGGGCACAGCCGCGUCCAAAAAUAAGCGCCCGAAGGUCGUGGUGCCAAAACCCCCCAGCGGAAAAAUGGCUAAAAAACGGGUGGGCUAUAGCCUUGGUGGGGGGCGCGGGCGAAGUUCGUCCGCCGGACUCGGAAUGGGGCAAGACUUUGUGAGGGGCCUCGAGGUGCCCGCGGGAAGUCUCGGGCACAGCCGCGUCCAAAAAUAAGCGCCCGAAGGUCGUGGUGCCAAAACCCCCCAGCGGAAAAAUACCCAAAAAACGGGUGGGCCAUAGCCUUGGUGGGGGGCGCGGGCGAAGUUCGUCCGCCGGACUCGGAAUGGGGCGAGACUUUGCGCAGGGCCUCGGGGUGCCAAAAAUAUGCCGCGGGCAAAGCCACGCCCAAAAAUAAUCGCCCGAAGGUCGUGGUGCCAAAACCCCCCAGCGGAAAAAUGGCCAAAAAACGGGUGGGCUAUAGCCUUGGUGGGGGGCGCGGUCGAAGUUCGUCCGCCGGACUCGGAAUGGGGCGAUACUUUGCGAGGGGCCUCGGGGUGGCAAAAAUCAGCCGCGGGCAAAGCCGCCCCCAAAGGUCGUUGUGCCAAAACCCCCCAGCGGAAAAAUGGCCAAAAAACGGGUGGGCUAUAGCCUUGGUGGGGGGUGCGGGCGAAGUUCGUCCGCCGGACUCGGAAUGGGGCGAGACUUUGCGAGGGGCCUCGAGGUGCCCGCGGGAAGUCGCGGGCACAGCCGCGUCCAAAAAUAAGCGCCCGAAGGUCGUGGUGCCAAAACCCCCCAGCGGAAAAAUAGCCAAAAAACGGGUGGGCUAUAGCCUUGGUGGGGGGCGCGGGCGAAGUUCGUCCGCCGGACUCGGAAUGGGGCGAGACUUUGCGCGGGGCCUCGGGGUGCCAAAAAUAAGCCGUGGGCAAAGUCGCGCACGAAGGUCGUGGUGCCAAAACCCCCCAGCGGAAAAAUAGCCAAAAAAUGGGUGGGCUAGAGCCUUGGUGGGGGGCGCGGGCGAAGUUCGUCCGCCGGACUCGGAAUCGGGCGAGACUUUGCGAGGGGCCUCGGGGCACCGAAAAUAAGCCGCGGGCAAAGCCGCGCCCAAAAAUAAGCGCUCGAAGGUUGUGGUGCCAAAACCCCCCAGCGGAAAAAUGGCCAAAAAACGGGUGGGCUAUAGCCUUGGUGGGGGGCGCGGGCGAAGUUCGUCUGCCGGACUCGGAAUGGGGCGAGACUUUGCAAGGUGCCUCGGGGUGCCAAAAAUAGGCCGCGGGCAAAGCCGCGCCCAAAAAUAAGCGCCCGAAGGUCGUGGUGCCAAAACCCCCCAGCGGAAAAAUGGCCAAAAAACGGGUGGGCUAUAGCCUUGGUGGGGGGCGCGGGCGAAGUUCGUCCGCCGGACUCGGAAUGGGGCGAGACUUUGCGCGGGGCCUCGGGGGGCCAAAAAUAAGCCGCGGGCAAAGCCGCACCCAAAAAUAAGCGCCCGAAGGUCGUGGUGCCAAAACCCCCCAGCGGAAAAAUGGCCAAAAAACGGGUGGGCUAUAGCCUUGGUGGGGGGCGCGGGCGAAGUUCGUCCGCCGGACUCGGAAUGGGGCGAGACUUUGCGAGGGGCCUCGGGGUGCCAAAAAUAAGCCGCGGGCAAAGCCGCGCCCAAAAAUAAGCGCCCGAAGGUCUUGGUGCCAAAACCCCCCAGCGGAAAAAUGGCCAAAAAACGGGUGGGCUAUAGCCUUGGUGGGGGGCGCGGGCGAACUUCGUCCGCCGGACUCGGAAUGGGGCGAGACUUUGCGAGGGGCCUCGGGGUACCAAAAAUAAGCCGCGGGCAAAGCCGCGCCCAAAAAUAAGCGCCCGAAGGUCUUGGUACCAAAACCCCCCAGCGGAAAAAUGGCCAAAAAACGGGUGGGCUAUAGCCUUGGUGGGGGGCGCGGGCGAAGUUCGUCCGCCGGACUCGGAAUGGGGCGAGACUUUGCGAGGGGCCUUGGGGUGCCCGCGGGAAGUCGCGGGCACAGCCGCGUCCAAAAAUAAGCGCCCGAAGGUCGUGGUGCCAAAACCCCCCAGCGGAAAAAUGGCCAAAAAACGGGUGGGCUAUAGCCUUGGUGGGGGGCGCGGGCGAAGUUCGUCCGCCGGACUCAGAAUGGGGCGAGACUUUGCGAGGAGCCUCGAGGUGCCCGCGGGAAGUCGCGGGCACAGCCUCGUCCAAAAAUAAGCGCCCGAAGGUCGUGGUGCCAAAACCCCCCAGCGGAAAAAUAGCCAAAAAACGGGUGGGCUAUAGCCUUGGUGGGGGGCGCGGGCGAAGUUCGUCCGCCGGACUCGGAAUGGGGCGAGACUUUACGAGGGGCCUCGGGGUGCCCGCGGGAAGUCGCGGGCUCAGCCGCAUCCAAAAAUAAGCGCCCGAAGGUCGUGGUGCCAAAACCCCCCAGCGGAAAAAUGGCCAAAAAACGGGUGGGCUAUAGCCUUGGUGGGGGGCGCGGGCGAAGUUCGUCCGCCGGACUCGGAAUGGCGCGAGACUUUGCGAGGGGCCUCGGGGUGCCAAAAAUAAGCCGCGGGCAAAGCCGCGCCCAAAAAUAAGCGCCCGAAGGUCUUGGU
Molecule: long non-coding RNA, 16437 nt
Filed under: Citrus x clementina
Lineage: Eukaryota; Viridiplantae; Streptophyta; Magnoliopsida; Sapindales; Rutaceae
Description: Citrus clementina (C. clementina) long non-coding RNA (CCLE_LNC005137)
Source: RNAcentral